This 867-nucleotide long non-coding RNA is filed under the name Callithrix jacchus (white-tufted-ear marmoset). Its description in RNAcentral is "lncRNA (ENSCJAG00000070899.1)". Lineage: Eukaryota; Metazoa; Chordata; Mammalia; Primates; Cebidae. The record is from RNAcentral.
AGAGUUUCAAUCCUCUUCCCCUUCCCUUUCUUUCUCCUUCCCCUUCCCUUCUUUUCUUUCUCUUUCCUCCCACCCCUCCUUCUUUCCUUCCAUCCUUCCCCUCUCUCUUUAUCUGUCUCUCUCUUGAGAAACAGGACAUAUUCCUGUUAAAGCAGAUGCUCGUUCAUCUCCAAAGCUCAUAGAGGAACCCAGACCUGGGCCAGAGACCCUCAGGGUGCUGUGGUUUAAUGGCCUGGAGGUGACCCUGCCAAUCACACAGACAUUGCAGGCUCAGAGGGAGGAGCCCCUUGGAAAGAGAGGGUCUUGCAUGCAGGCUGGAGUGCGGUGACACGGUCACAGCUCACUGCAACCUUGACCUACUGGAUUCAAGGGCCUUCCCACCUCAGCUUCUCAAGUAAUUGGGACCACAGCUGUUGGCUGGACACAGUGGCUUACAUCUGUAAUUCCGGAAUUGGGGAGGCUAAGGUGGGUGAAGUGCUUGAACCCAGAAGUUUGAGACCAGCCUAGGCGACAUGGCAAAACCGAGUCUCUACAUCUCGACACAAACAAACAAACCUGAAAUUAGCCGGUCAUCUGCAGUCCCAGCUAUGUACUCAGGAAACUAAGGCCAGCGGAUCUGUUGAGUCCUGGAGAUCGAGGCUGCAGUGAGCCACGAUCAUACCACUGCACUCCAGCCUGGGCAACAGAAAGAGACCCUGUCUCAAAAAAUAAUAAAGUACAUAAAUAAAUAAAUAAACUGUUGAUUGGGAGCCGUGUAUGCACCAGGCCCUAAGCGGGGCAUGAUGAGAUGGGAUGAAGAGUCUGGAGACUUGGGAAAGGCUGCACCUCUGGAGGGAGGCCGCAGCUUCUCCUUCAUCAAAGAGGUCC